UCCCGAGACCGAGGAAGCUUGCUUCUGAAGAAUCAUUUGGAAUACUUAGUGGCGGACGGGUGAGUAACGCGUGGGUAACCUGCCUCACACAGGGGGAUAACAGUUGGAAACGACUGUUAAUACCGCAUAAGCGCACAGUACCGCAUGGUACAGUGUGAAAAACUCCGGUGGUGUGAGAUGGACCCGCGUCUGAUUAGCUAGUUGGUGAGGUAACGGCCCACCAAGGCGACGAUCAGUAGCCGGCCUGAGAGGGUGUACGGCCACAUUGGGACUGAGACACGGCCCAAACUCCUACGGGAGGCAGCAGUGGGGAAUAUUGCACAAUGGGGGAAACCCUGAUGCAGCGACGCCCGCGUGAGUGAUGAAGUAUCUCGGUAUGUAAAGCUCUACCAGCAGGGAAGAUAAUGACGGUACCUGACUAAGAAGCACCGGCUAAAUACGUGCCAGCCGCAGC
This 454-nucleotide ribosomal RNA is filed under the name uncultured bacterium. Its description in RNAcentral is "bacterial SSU rRNA". It matches the Rfam family "Bacterial small subunit ribosomal RNA", at positions 64 to 518 of the family's 1533-position model. The record is from RNAcentral.